Molecule: unclassified non-coding RNA, 293 nt
Filed under: plant metagenome
Description: partial contains small subunit ribosomal RNA, internal transcribed spacer 1, and 5.8S ribosomal RNA
Rfam family: Eukaryotic small subunit ribosomal RNA (bases 1-53)
Source: RNAcentral
GGAGUAAAAGUCGUAACAAGGUUUCCGUAGGUGAACCUGCGGAAGGAUCAUUAAUGAGUUGUCAUGGGGUUCGAUGCUGGCAGCCAGUUUUUGGAUGCAUGUGCUUGCCCUAACAAUCAUCUUCUUCCAAACACCCGUGCACAUUUUUGAGGGAGUCUUGAGUUGGUUGCCGCUCUUGGGUGAUUUUCUCACAUUCCCUUAAAUCAUUAUACGCUAUUAACAAUGUUGAACGUGCUCUGUGCCGCAAGGCCAUUAAUAUAAUACAACUUUUAACAACGGAUCUCUUGGCUCUC